GGGGGUGUAGCUCAGUGGUUGACCACAAGCUUGCCGUGCAUGUGGUCCUGGGUUCAAUCCCCAGUGCCUCCA
Molecule: transfer RNA, 72 nt
Filed under: Camelus ferus (Wild Bactrian camel)
Lineage: Eukaryota; Metazoa; Chordata; Mammalia; Artiodactyla; Camelidae
Rfam family: tRNA
About the family: Transfer RNA (tRNA) molecules are approximately 80 nucleotides in length. Their secondary structure includes four short double-helical elements and three loops (D, anti-codon, and T loops).
Source: Rfam by way of RNAcentral